UACGUAGGGACCAAGCGUUGUUCGGAUUUACUGGGCGUAAAGGGCGCGUAGGCGGCAAUUCAAGUCAGUUGUGAAAUCUCCGAGCUUAACUCGGAACGGUCAAGUGAUACUGUCGGACUAGAGUACAGAAGGGGCAACUGGAAUUCUCGGUGUAGCGGUGAAAUGCGUAGAUAUCGAGAGGAACACCUGCGGCGAAGGCGGGUUGCUGGGCUGAUACUGACGCUGAGGCGCGAAAGCCAGGGAGCGAACGGG
RNAcentral lists this ribosomal RNA (252 nucleotides) under uncultured bacterium. Its description in RNAcentral is "partial 16S ribosomal RNA". It matches the Rfam family "Bacterial small subunit ribosomal RNA", at positions 524 to 776 of the family's 1533-position model. The record is from RNAcentral.